This 465-nucleotide ribosomal RNA is filed under the name uncultured bacterium. RNAcentral describes it as "bacterial SSU rRNA". It matches the Rfam family "Bacterial small subunit ribosomal RNA", at positions 338 to 795 of the family's 1533-position model. The record is from RNAcentral.
CCUACGGGUCGCACCAGUAGGGAAUCUUCCGCAAUGGGCGAAAGCCUGACGGAGCAACGCCGCGUGAGUGAUGAAGGUCUUCGGAUCGUAAAACUCUGUUAUUAGGGAAGAACAAAUGUGUAAGUAACUAUGCACGUCUUGACGGUACCUAAUCAGAAAGCCACGGCUAACUACGUGCCAGCAGCCGCGGUAAUACGUAGGUGGCAAGCGUUAUCCGGAAUUAUUGGGCGUAAAGCGCGCGUAGGCGGUUUUUUAAGUCUGAUGUGAAAGCCCACGGCUCAACCGUGGAGGGUCAUUGGAGACUGGAAAACUUGAGUGCAGAAGAGGAAAGUGGAGUUCCAUGUGUAGCGGUGAAAUGCGCAGAGAUAUGGAGGAACACCAGUGGCGAAGGCGACUUUCUGGUCUGUAACUGACGCUGAUGUGCGAAAGCGUGGGGAUCAAACAGGAUUAGAUACCCUUGUAGUC